This 253-nucleotide ribosomal RNA is filed under the name uncultured bacterium. Its description in RNAcentral is "partial 16S ribosomal RNA". It matches the Rfam family "Bacterial small subunit ribosomal RNA", at positions 524 to 776 of the family's 1533-position model. The record is from RNAcentral.
UACGUAGGGUCCGAGCGUUGUCCGGAAUUAUUGGGCGUAAAGAGCUCGUAGGCGGCUUGUCGCGUCUGCUGUGAAAUCCCGAGGCUCAACCUCGGGUCUGCAGUGGGUACGGGCAGACUGGAGUGCGGUAGGGGAGAAUGGAAUUCCUGGUGUAGCGGUGGAAUGCGCAGAUAUCAGGAGGAACACCGAUGGCGAAGGCAGUUCUCUGGGCCAUAACUGACGCUGAGGAGCGAAAGCGUGGGGAGCGAACAGG